This 500-nucleotide ribosomal RNA is filed under the name uncultured bacterium. RNAcentral describes it as "bacterial SSU rRNA". It matches the Rfam family "Bacterial small subunit ribosomal RNA", at positions 28 to 507 of the family's 1533-position model. The record is from RNAcentral.
GGCGAACGCUGGCGGCGUGCCUAAUACAUGCAAGUCGAGCGGAAUGAUGAAGAAGCUUGCUUCUUCUGAUUUUAGCGGCGGACGGGUGAGUAACACGUGGGCAACCUACCUUGUAGAUUGGGAUAACUCCGGGAAACCGGGGCUAAUACCGAAUAAUCCAUUUUGCUUCAUGGCGAGAUGUUGAAAGACGGUUUCGGCUGUCACUAUAAGAUGGGCCCGCGGCGCAUUAGCUAGUUGGUAGGGUAAUGGCCUACCAAGGCGACGAUGCGUAGCCGACCUGAGAGGGUGAUCGGCCACACUGGGACUGAGACACGGCCCAGACUCCUACGGGAGGCAGCAGUAGGGAAUCUUCCACAACGGACGAAAGUCUGAUGGAGCAACGCCGCGUGAGUGAAGAAGGUUUUCGGAUCGUAAAACUCUGUUGUAAGGGAAGAACACGUACGAGAGUAACUGCUCGUACCUUGACGGUACCUUAUUAGAAAGCCACGGCUAACUACGUG